AGUCUAAGUGUCAUUGUAUUAUAUUGUGAUUGUUAACAGAAAGGUUGACAUGGAAAUGAAAGUAGUUCAAGUGAUGCUAAUUUCACUCAUAUGUGAAAUCAGACCAGUCCUAUCCAAUGAUGAUAACACCAAUGUGGAGCUUUCUAAGACACCAACUACAGUAUCCAAAGCAGUGCACUUCUAUGCUGCACACCCAGCAUCAAUCGAUGGAAGCCUCAACCCAAUCCUUUUCAGUGACGUCACCCUGAAUGAGGGCUUUGCAUUCAGCGGGUCCUCAGGCAUCUUCACUGCUCCAGUGCAUGGAAUCUACCAGUUCUUCUUCUCAUUCCAGAGUGCCAGAAAUAACCCAGACAAUGCCUGGUGGCUGCAGGUUAAUGGUGUGGCUAAGGUUUUGUGCCAUUCUCAAGUUAGUAAAAAAUCCACUGUAGGUAGUAUGUGCACCUACAUGACUGAGCUGGCACAGAAUGAUCAAGUCACUGUGGUCCAAAACGCAGGGUAUGCCUGGGCCACUGCUACUACACGCACUAUUACCUUCUCUGGCUCGUUGCUGAUGCAGAAAUUUUAAGAACUUAAGAACGUUCUUAACUGUAAGAAAUGUAACUGUAUCAAAUUAAUAGCUCUCAUUCUCAUUUUCCCUUAAAAAUAAUGGCUUCAAAUGAAUUUUGAUGGUGCACUGAUGGUAAUAAUCAGGGGAGUGGCAUCUCGGUCAUUCAUGCAAGCGUUAGCCUGGAGACCACUUCACUGAGAGUCUGGCCUAGCUCCAUUGGCAAAUGUUUAUUUCCUGGUUUGUGGACGCUUGUCUGAAGUUUGAAUUCACUGGAGUUCAAUCACUAAUGUUUGGCAAUGACGUCUGAUAACCACGGGGACACAACGAUUAAAAUAGGCUUGAAACUUAAAUGCAAUCGCUCUUGGGAACACCCUCUGUUCGCUGAUUGGGCGGAGAUGCAUUUGCCGGAGUAAACCAAGCUGGAUCACGCUAUACCAGACGGAGUAUGAAGAGAGAUGCAAAUGAGCGGAAGUGCGUAGUCAGGUGGGGGCCAGGCUAAGAAAACGUGGUAUUGUAUGCUUUGGGUGUACCAGAGAAGUUACACUUUUCCUCACUGAGAGAUGAGAUUGAACAAACCCUGUUGAACUCUGUUGUUGUCUACUAAAGUAUGAGGAAUCCUAGGUGACUUUUAAUGUGAUUUUUGCAUUGUGGUUCAUGUUACAUUUCUCGUCUCCAUACAUACAGUAUGUAGGCCUGUUUAAGACUCUAUGUUUGUGUGUGACUAUUUUGUUUUGAAUGAUUGCUGUUCAUUGUCAAGAGAGAAAGGCAUUAAUAAAGACAGGUACAAAAAAGAAACAUUUCCUCCUGUUUGUUGCACCCCACCUGUCUGGUCUCAUUGCGUAACACUGAGCUCGGCCUACUUUUCAGGCCUAGUCACAUUUCACAUGUAGAAUGAAUCUCACAUAUGCUGUCAACAAAAACAUUCAGAUGGAAAAAACUGGUGGCUUCACUAAACUAUGGGAGGAGAGAGGACGUUCUGUGAGAUGCAACAUAGGCUACUUCAUCUUUACGUUGCACGGAA
Molecule: long non-coding RNA, 1568 nt
Organism: Sardina pilchardus (European sardine)
Lineage: Eukaryota; Metazoa; Chordata; Actinopteri; Clupeiformes; Clupeidae
Exons: 4
Source: RefSeq, a predicted model, not a curated record